CGUGAAUGCGCAGAUAUCAGGAGGAACACCGAUGGCGAAGGCAGGUCUCUGGGCCGCAACUGACGCUGAGGAGCGAAAGCAUGGGGAGCGAACAGGAUUAGAUACCCUGGUAGUCCAUGCCGUAAACGUUGGGCACUAGGUGUGGGGCUCAUUCCACGAGUUCCGUGCCGCAGCAAACGCAUUAAGUGCCCCGCCUGGGGAGUACGGCCGCAAGGCUAAAACUCAAAGGAAUUGACGGGGGCCCGCACAAGCGGCGGAGCAUGCGGAUUAAUUCGAUGCAACGCGAAGAACCUUACCAAGGCUUGACAUGCACGGGAAGCCACCAGAGAUGGUGGUCUCUUUGGACACUCGUGCACAGGUGGUGCAUGGUUGUCGUCAGCUCGUGUCGUGAGAUGUUGGGUUAAGUCCCGCAACGAGCGCAACCCUCGUCCCAUGUUGCCAGCGGGUUAUGCCGGGGACUCAUGGGAGACUGCCGGGGUCAACUCGGAGGAAGGUGGGGAUGACGUCAAAUCAUCAUGCCCCUUAUGUCUUGGGCUUCACGCAUGCUACAAUGGCCGGUACAAAGGGCUGCGAUACCGUAAGGUGGAGCGAAUCCCAAAAAGCCGGUCUCAGUUCGGAUUGGGGUCUGCAACUCGACCCCAUGAAGUCGGAGUCGCUAGUAAUCGCAGAUCAGCAACGCUGCGGUGAAUACGUUCCCGGGCCUUGUACACACCGCCCGUCAAGUCACGAAAGUCGGUAACACCCGAAGCCCAUGGCCCAACCGUUCGCGGGGGGAGUGUCGAAUAGUAGAUAUGGAAUGUUCC
RNAcentral lists this ribosomal RNA (803 nucleotides) under Cellulosimicrobium sp. WBQ_16S. RNAcentral's name for it is "bacterial SSU rRNA". It matches the Rfam family "Bacterial small subunit ribosomal RNA", at positions 679 to 1477 of the family's 1533-position model. The record is from RNAcentral. Lineage: Bacteria; Bacillati; Actinomycetota; Actinomycetes; Micrococcales; Promicromonosporaceae.